UUCAUGAUGCGUACGUUACAAGUGAGUAUGCCUCUCAGGAUAUGAUAGAAUGUAUGCGAACAAAGUGGACAAGGAGGUAAGAUAGACGUAUGACACUAUCCGGAUGUCAUAGGAGUGCAUUCCCUUAUGAGACCUCCUUCAUUUGUAUAGGGUGAUGUUAUGAGGAUUUCAUGUUCCUUGUAUUUAGCCUCCUGUUUAAGAUGCUAUUAUUUAUUCUGGACAAAAUGGUGCAUUCUGAUGGGAUUGCUACUAUGAUUAUUUUUUAUAGCAGACGUUGAGAGGAUUGUCCUUUAAAAAAAUAAAUCUCUUGAGUAAAGAUUAGGGAUGUUUCAUUUGGUAUCAGAGCAGUCAUUCCAAAAGGGGCGGUGUGUGCAUGUCAUCUCGUCAGGAAUUCGACUACUUCUGCCUUCAAGUUUGUCAUGGCGAUCCGAAGGAAUAAUGGAGAGAUUGGGGGUCAAAACAGUCAAUUUCUCGCAGGGCUUACUGCGUUUAUGCAGGAGCAGAACCGCAUCCAUGGAGAACAGAUCCAACAGUUGUUGAGAAUCAGGGCAAAUGAAUAAUGCCAUAGCUAACCCACAGCCGGUGUGAACCUAGUAUACAGAUAGUUCAAGGAGCUUGGGCUUACAAAGUUCAAGGGCACUGCAGAUCCGAUCGCUGCAGAGGAAUGGAUCUGCUCCUUAGAAACAAUUUAUGACUUCAUGCAACUCAUUGAUGCGGACAAGGUUAGGUGUGUCAUAUUCAUGCCGUGGGACGACGCUCGGAUAUGGUGGGAGGGUACACGUUCUACGGUGGAUAUGACUACUAUGACCUGGAUAGGCAUCAAGGAAGUAUUGUAUGGGAAAUAUUUCACCACUGACAACCGAACUCGACUGGCAAACGAAUUCCUAGAGCUGCAGCAAGGGGACAUGAUAGUGGCCGAGUAUGUCAGGAAGUUCGAGAGAGGACGAUACAUUGCACCCAUGUUCGCAGGAUAAUCGACCGAGGAGCUGAAGCACUUCAUUGAGGGAUUGAGAGCUACUAUUCGACAUGAUCUCAGGUUAAGUCGAGCUAUCACGUUCAGAGAGGUAGUGGAUCAGGCUAUGAUGUCAGAAAAGGAUCAACACGAUAUGAUUAAGGAAGCGCAGAGUAAGAGAGCGGGAUAUCAAGGAAGGGACCAACAAGAGUGAAGCAAGAAGAAGCCUGCUCCUGCUCAGUUUCAACCAAAAUGGUCGUAGAAACAGUCACAGACAUGACAUCCACCUCAGGGACCCCAAGAAGUGGAUGGUACCACUCCCAAGGUUGAGGACAAAGUUCAAUGCCCUAGGUGUGAAAAGGUUCAUGCAGGACAGUGUCUGAUGGGUUCAGAUGUUUGUUAUAUAUGCAAGAACACAGGGUAUUUCGUUAGAGAAUGCCCUCAGCUCAAAGAGCCAAUCAAAGGAAGAGUGUUUGCUAUGACACAGGAGCAGAUAGAUUUAGAUUUAGCCAUCAUCACAAGUAUGAUUUUUAUUACCAACCUACUUGCUCAUACAUUAAUAAAUUUUGGAUCUACCCACUCUUUUAUAUCUAU
Zingiber officinale is the source of this 1546-nucleotide long non-coding RNA. RefSeq lists it as uncharacterized. Lineage: Eukaryota; Viridiplantae; Streptophyta; Magnoliopsida; Zingiberales; Zingiberaceae. The transcript has 2 exons. The record is from RefSeq and is a predicted model, not a curated record.